This 468-nucleotide ribosomal RNA is filed under the name uncultured bacterium. RNAcentral describes it as "partial 16S ribosomal RNA". It matches the Rfam family "Bacterial small subunit ribosomal RNA", at positions 28 to 507 of the family's 1533-position model. The record is from RNAcentral.
GACGAACGCUGGCGGCGUGCUUAACACAUGCAAGUCGAACGGAAAGGCCCUGCUUUUGUGGGGUGCUCGAGUGGCGAACGGGUGAGUAACACGUGAGUAACCUGCCCUUGACUUUGGGAUAACUUCAGGAAACUGGGGCUAAUACCGGAUAGGAGCUCCUGCUGCAUGGUGGGGGUUGGAAAGUUUCGGCGGUUGGGGAUGGACUCGCGGCUUAUCAGCUUGUUGGUGGGGUAGUGGCUUACCAAGGCUUUGACGGGUAGCCGGCCUGAGAGAGUGACCGGCCACAUGGGGACUGAGAUACGGCCCAGACGCCUACGGGAGGCAGCAGUGGGAAAUAUUGCACAAUGGGCGGAAGCCUGAUGCAGCAACGCCGCGUGCGGGAUGACGGCCUUCGGGUUGUAAACCGCUUUCGCGUGUGACGAAGCGUGAGUGACGGUAAUGGGUAAAGAAGCACCGGCUAACUACGUG